Molecule: ribosomal RNA, 484 nt
Filed under: Escherichia coli
Lineage: Bacteria; Pseudomonadati; Pseudomonadota; Gammaproteobacteria; Enterobacterales; Enterobacteriaceae
Description: partial 23S ribosomal RNA
Rfam family: Bacterial large subunit ribosomal RNA
Source: RNAcentral
GUUGCAGGGUAUAGACCCGAAACCCGGUGAUCUAGCCAUGGGCAGGUUGAAGGUUGGGUAACACUAACUGGAGGACCGAACCGACUAAUGUUGAAAAAUUAGCGGAUGACUUGUGGCUGGGGGUGAAAGGCCAAUCAAACCGGGAGAUAGCUGGUUCUCCCCGAAAGCUAUUUAGGUAGCGCCUCGUGAAUUCAUCUCCGGGGGUAGAGCACUGUUUCGGCAAGGGGGUCAUCCCGACUUACCAACCCGAUGCAAACUGCGAAUACCGGAGAAUGUUAUCACGGGAGACACACGGCGGGUGCUAACGUCCGUCGUGAAGAGGGAAACAACCCAGACCGCCAGCUAAGGUCCCAAAGUCAUGGUUAAGUGGGAAACGAUGUGGGAAGGCCCAGACAGCCAGGAUGUUGGCUUAGAAGCAGCCAUCAUUUAAAGAAAGCGUAAUAGCUCACUGGUCGAGUCGGCCUGCGCGGAAGAUGUAACGGGG